AUGGUCUUGGUGACUCUGAAGAAGGUCACCUUCGGUGGGACCGGCAGCAGCCUCACCUUCCACGACAGCACGAUGCCGAAAUUACCGCCGCCGCCGCCGCGGAUAGCCCAGAAAAGGUCAUCCCCCAUGGCCUUCUUGCUCGCCAGGAGGUUCCCUUCGGCAUCGACCAUGGUGGCGUCCACCACGUUGUCGGCUGAGAGACCGUGUUUGCGCAUCAUCAGGCCUAUGCCGCCGCCGCUGAAGAUGCCACCCACGCCGACGGUCGGGCACACGCUAGCCGGGAAGCCCAGCCCAGGCGCCGCCAUGGCGACGUGGUAG
Molecule: ribosomal RNA, 318 nt
Filed under: Triticum aestivum (bread wheat)
Lineage: Eukaryota; Viridiplantae; Streptophyta; Magnoliopsida; Poales; Poaceae
Description: partial small subunit ribosomal RNA
Source: RNAcentral